UACGAAGGGGGCUAGCGUUGCUCGGAAUCACUGGGCGUAAAGGGUGCGUAGGCGGGUCUUUAAGUCAGGGGUGAAAUCCUGGAGCUCAACUCCAGAACUGCCUUUGAUACUGAAGAUCUUGAGUUCGGGAGAGGUGAGUGGAACUGCGAGUGUAGAGGUGAAAUUCGUAGAUAUUCGCAAGAACACCAGUGGCGAAGGCGGCUCGCUGGGCCGGUCCUGACACUGAGGCGCGAAGGCGUGGGGAGCGAACGGG
RNAcentral lists this ribosomal RNA (253 nucleotides) under uncultured bacterium. RNAcentral describes it as "partial 16S ribosomal RNA". It matches the Rfam family "Bacterial small subunit ribosomal RNA", at positions 524 to 776 of the family's 1533-position model. The record is from RNAcentral.